RNAcentral lists this long non-coding RNA (665 nucleotides) under Capsella grandiflora. Its description in RNAcentral is "long non-coding RNA (CGRA_LNC000892)". The record is from RNAcentral. Lineage: Eukaryota; Viridiplantae; Streptophyta; Magnoliopsida; Brassicales; Brassicaceae.
UGUUUCAUGUAGGACUGUUGCAUUAGCAUAGGGGGCGAUGAUGAUUUACACCUUGUUAAGUUGCUAUGAUUCACUAGUUGAGAUCAAUGCCCUGGGUUUUUGCUCUUUGAUGCAUGAUGAUUGAACUUGAAGUAAGUCUGAAACAAAAUUGGAAUUUAUGAAGAGCUUUCUUGAACUUGGUUGAAGCAUGUUGUGAUAUGAUCUCAUUCCUUACCUUAUAAGAACUUAAUCUUGACUUGCAAAUAUCUGGUUGUGUUUUGCUUGCAUGCUUAUGGUCACCAUAUACGUAUUUGGAUCAUCUUCCUCCUUUCACCACUCUUGUUGAUCCAAGUAGCUGAUCUUUCUUUUGAUCAGUUUGCCAUACCCACAACCUAUCCUUUUCUUUCAAGCCAAUUGAUAAUUUUUGACUGGUAGGUUUUUUACCGGAUUAUGCAUGGGGAGAACGUGUUAGGUAUGAGCCGACAGGAUUAAAAUCUUGAGUAGUUCUGAUUUUCACUUUCAAAUCAGAUAGGACUAGGUCUGGAUUCUUACUUGGGUUUGGGAUUGGAAUGAUUGUGGAAAGCAAGAAGAGAAACAGAAAAAGUUGUGUCCUUAGAAGGAGAAUGUUUUUCUAGAAGUUUAUACUCUAGUGAUUGAUUUUUGUGAGGAUAGCAUGAUAUACAGAG